CAGUGUGAGUCAGUGAGUGACCGGUGACUGGCUGCUGCAGCCAAUGAUGCGAUUCACAUACGUAUUUACCAUAGACUGUAUAUAAUGGUAUUUACGCAGCUAAUCAACGUGAGACGUCCUUAUGUGCAGCCAUCGUUGUUCUCAUAGAUAUGAAUGAGUAGAUAGGACACGCCCCUUUGAGCUGCGUGCUACAGCGAGGCUAAGCUAGUGGGGGAAAAGUUUCAGUGCAUUCCGUUGAUGUAGACGGCGUGAAAACGGAAACAAGAAGUAUGCCGGCUCACUGUGCUGCAUACAAUUACACACUACGUCGUACGAUUGAGACAAGGAAACUUGGAAUGACUUUUCAUAGGUUUCCCAGAGACUAUGGGUUGAGGAGGAAUUGGAAGUUUGUCGGCUUAGACCUGGUGUCAUUCCAUAAGUGUUAAACUUCCUGGCUCAUCUUGAAAGAGUAUGUGCCAGAAAGACCACGACCAAGCAGCCUUGAGAUCUUAGGCAGCGUCUCCCUGAGGUCCCUCUCUAUCUCCCCACACAUCCACCAACCACUGGAACACAUCUCCAAAGUUCUGCGGGCCAGCUCAGCUUCCCCUCAGAAGAAGUGCUGCCACCUGCCAGAUGAAGGAGCCUUUUGAGAGGCAGCUGGCAUCGUGAUUGGACUGUACUUUGGUCUGUUCCAAUCCAGCUUCAGCUCCAGAGACGGCAGGCGGGACGAGUCAACGGAGGCCUGGUGGACGAAGGCAUGCAGCUGAGUACAAUCCAGAAAACAACAGAGGAGGAGUGCAGCAGCCCAGAGCCAGAACAAACAGCAGUAUGUCUCUUAGAAAACAUCAUAGUAUAGCCUUUGGUAUGAAAAAACGCCAUCAUAUACAUCGUAUAUUGUACAAAUAACAAGUCAAAGGAAAGAGACAUACAUUGUAGAAUUGUAGUAAUUGUGGGCUGACUGAUUUACUGAUUAUCAGUAUUUUAUUUUUUACUGAUUUACGGUAAUAAAUACAUUUAAAAAUGGUGCUACUUUGGCUCUGAACCUUUAUCUACCUGUGGUCGCUCUGUCUUCUGGAGUGAUUUGAUUGGUUAUACGUCACGAAUAAAACUCCUUUAACUUAACAUCUGUAAACAAAACAAAAACGUAUCAACAAAGUUUUCUGUUAGAGUUUGUGUUCUUCUAAGUUUAACUCCAAGAUUUUAAAUACUUUCAUUUACUGCAAAUGAAUAUCUACUCCAAAUGUCUCACUAAUAAUCAUUAUCAGCCUUAAAAACCCACAAAACACCCCUCUAUACUCGACCACACUUAGUACAGUCCGGUUCCCCCUUCUAUAAAUCUGCUUGGAAUCUUCCACUUCCUGUUUGUCAAAGUGGCCUUCUACCUGGACAGGUUUUGUUGGAGCUCAUGCAACAAACAUUUUGGGUAACUGCACUUUAAUAUGGAUGGAUGACACUGAAUUAGAGUCUGUUUUAAUGAGACUGAGUUAAGAUGUGUAGCUCUGUCAUUAAAUAGGAAAUUAUUUCUCAGAAUUCACAGAGAAAAGUCUGAAAUGUUUGCUAGGUUAGCGUCCCACAUGUUCUUUGGCUCAGCUAAAGCUAACUCUCUCCAACUUCUGGAUCUCUUGAGUUGCUUGUUGUUAAAAUAUCUUGCUAGAGGUGCUGAAGCUCAGAAAGUCUGAGAUGUUUGUUCAAAAUAAGCUCAUUCUCAAGUCUUAUCUGAACUGUCCUCUUUUGUUUGAACUUUCCCUAAACUUAGGAGUUAAUGACAGAGCAGCACAUCCAGACUCAGUCUCAUUUAUGUAGAGAUUAAACUUCAGUGUCAUUCAUUGAUGUUAAAGUGCAGUUUUUCAAAUGUUUGUUGCACAUGCUCCCGACCAAACCAGUCCAGGUGGAAGACGAUGUGAAGAGAAAGCUCCAGAGGAUGAAUAUCACACAUUUACGUUGGAAAUAAAUGUCCUUUAAUUAGACAUUGUCAUGCAAAAGUUGGAUUUCCCUUUAAUGAUGUUCAAAUCUUUGUUGAGUGUUUUGUUGAUGUUGGUUUCUAAAUGUUUUUGACACUCGGCCCCAAAGAUUAAAACCUUUUACGGCUCACAAGCUGCAACAAUUCACACAUUAUCAACUAUCUUUCUGACUAAACUAAGAUAAAAAGUGAAAAACUGCCUGAUUCCUGCAUCAUGAAUGUAAAUCUUUUUGGUUUUUAUGACAGUAAACUGAAUAUAUUUGGGUUUGACAUUUUAUAAACCAAAACAAGAAAUGAAUUACUGGAGAAAACAACAGAUUAAUGGACAAAGAAAAUGUGUUUUCCAACAUAUAUGGCUGAAUUACUCCAACAUUACAAGAUACAUACAAUUUGAAUUCAAUUUUAUUUAUAUAACGCCAAUUACAGGUCAAAUUGUCUCAAGACACUUUAUUUUUAUAUUUUUUGUCAUAUUUAAAAUAUGACAAAGUAAGAAAUUUAAACCUCUUGACUAAUCCAAUUUAUUAUUUGGUUUUUAAGAGACUAAUCGACAACUAAAAUAACUUUCUCCACUAAAACUAAUAAACAUGAGGUCAAAUAGAAGGAACAGUUUUAAAUACUGCAGUCCCACGACGACAAGAAUAAAGUUUGUCAACAAAAACUAAAUCUGCUGGUGGAUUCCAUUAAAGUCCUAAUAAAUGAUAAUAAAGUGUGAUACUAAAGGUUUGUGGUGCUAAAAAUGUCAAAGUAAAGAUAUCAAGUUGAACAUCUGGAUGGAGGUUGAUAAAAGUUGACCUCCCUUCAUUUCUCUGGAGCGACUCCAUGGAUUUUAUGGAUGGUGGUUAAAGACCUGCUCUUCUAGUGGUCUUCCUUCUAGUCGCUGUAAAAAGUCAGUCCAUCCUGGCCGACUUCAACACCUCUUCAUGACAACUUGUUCUGCCUCCGACCUGGUGGAAACUCCAGAAACUCGGGAAAACCUGUGGAGACUCGAAGAACUCGUGGAGACUCGAAGA
Amphiprion ocellaris (clown anemonefish) is the source of this 2949-nucleotide long non-coding RNA. RefSeq lists it as uncharacterized. The record is from RefSeq and is a predicted model, not a curated record. NCBI's taxonomy places the organism in Eukaryota, Metazoa, Chordata, Actinopteri, Pomacentridae. The transcript is spliced from 3 exons.